ACCCUUUCAUCUAUUGCUUUUCCCCUUUCCAUUAUAGUUUUGUUUAAAUUAAAUAAUGCAAUAGCCUUAAUAAUGCAUUUACCUUAAAAUGAUAUACGCGUAAUUAUAAUUGUCGCAUCCUGUUUUACGUUAUUCAUAACACAGAUUGUAUUCGUUUCUCUUUUAAUAUCACUAUAUAUGUUUUCUGGGUUGUGCCGAAUGUAAUAGUUAGAAAAAGCGUAACUUUUUGUGGUUAAGAUUUUUACUUUAACCAAGAGUGACAUCAUUUCCGCUUUAAUUUCUGACCCAGAACUAGCUCGACGAUCUGGAAUGGGAUUAGGAGGUUAGAGAGUUGUGGACCCGGCUGAUCUCGUUUCACCGAAAGAACAUGUACGUUCGACCUUGGCUUUCUAGCGGUUCCACGUGUGUGCUAAACGGCUGAUAUACGUUAGCCCGACAUAUCGGAUGUUUUCGUAUUGAUCUCCACGUUUGAGAUGUCAUAUUUUUCGUUUGGGAGGGACGAUAUGCAGUUCUCUUUCGUCUGUGACAUCAUCGAACAUAUGGUGACAUGUUUUUCGACACGCGGAAGUACUGGAGUCGGAACCACAUCGCCGUUGACACGUGUUCUAGCGGAUGUAUAACCGGAUGAUUUUCUCUCCCUAUCUCGUUUUCCUGGACGGACUGUUCGAUGACGUCAGAAGGUAGAUGACCUGGUCUGUAGGUGAAAGAGAGAUGAUGAUAUAUUUACCAGUUUGGGUUUGUAGGUUUGUAGGUUACUAUUGCAACCUAGUUUGGUCCUCACUUUGACAACCGAGAAGAACCGUCAGGUAAUAUAGAUAACUAUAAUAUCCUGUUUGUUAGUGAGUUUGGUGUAGGUCACGCUUACUCUGCUAUUUUGAAGUAUAUUUUUGUUAGUAUACCAAACAUAAAAUUAAUUUUUUUUUUAAUACGUGCUUUAAGAAUGGCAGACGUUAAAUUUCGCUGCAAAAUUGAAGUGAAAUCAACAGAUAAUCGGAAAAUGCUGGAUUUGUUUAUCGAGUUAAUACACCCUCCUAGUGACUCAGAAUGAAUGAUAGCGUUAUUUGUGUGAUGGUGCCAAACACGGUUGACUGACAGAAGCAUGGCUGGUCGAAGGUGUUUAUGAAGUUAGAUCCAACAUCAACACUCAUUCUCGCGACUGACUUCCGGUUUGCGAUGUCCCAGAUAAAGCUUACGAACAUACAUACUUCUUGUCACCCAUUUAAAAAAAGAAUAUUUGCUAAUAUACGUCAUUUGACGUCUUUCUUUUUUUUUUUAAACUGCUGCCUCCGCAUUGUUUUUUACGCAGAAAAAAAAGGUGUGAAUAGAUCCGGCUUUGGCAUUUUUGGAUUAAUUUUACCGAAAAUAAGCGCAUAUUCUAGAAACAUUUUGGAAUAAAUGUUUUUUCUUCCAGU
RNAcentral lists this long non-coding RNA (1412 nucleotides) under Androctonus crassicauda. The record is from RNAcentral. Lineage: Eukaryota; Metazoa; Arthropoda; Arachnida; Scorpiones; Buthidae.